ACAGACUUAAGUUAAGAUUAGUAAAACUAUUGGUUUUCAAAACCGAAAAUUUAGAUCUGUG
This 61-nucleotide transfer RNA is filed under the name Toxocara vitulorum. Its description in RNAcentral is "tRNA-Trp". Lineage: Eukaryota; Metazoa; Nematoda; Chromadorea; Rhabditida; Toxocaridae. The record is from RNAcentral.